Non-coding RNA from Danio rerio (zebrafish), 2495 nucleotides. The record is from RefSeq and is a predicted model, not a curated record. Lineage: Eukaryota; Metazoa; Chordata; Actinopteri; Cypriniformes; Danionidae.
GUGGCUCAGUGGUAGAGCAAUGCCUCACAGGGUAAGAGGUCGCUGGUUCAAUCCCAGCCAGAUCACUGCGAUAUGUGUGAAUGUGGUGUGAAAGAAGGGGUGGGAUGGGUCGGGUCCCACCCUGACCUACGGGGCCAUGUACAGCAGGGGUUAUGCUGCUUUUUACCACAAAAUUAAAUUUAGCUGUAUAAAAAUUCAGACCCUCGUCCCUUCUCCUCCCGUUUCGGUUACUAUCAUUUCCUUUCCAGAGGGACGACCCUCCAGAAAGAAAAGGAUAAUAACCGAUACACCAAACCUCAAACACAAUGUGCGGGUCUCACCUGUCCAGCAGCAGACGUCCGUCCUUACAGUCCACGGCUGUCAAAUGUCCCAGAGCUCCGCUUCUCUUGGCUGUACAGUCCAAACACAAGCUUCAUUCUGGAGAGGAAACACACAAAUAAAGACUUUACUACAAAAGCACAUCUGAAACAGCAGAACUGAUCAGAAUUCAGCAACAUAAUCCUUCAUCAACAUAAGAUAACGUACAGUACAGUGUCUAUUGACAGCUACAAUAUUGAAGACUGCAGCUCUACAAAAGCUCACUAAUUGACUUUUAAACAAGGAUAAGUGCAGAUUUAUGCUGCUUUAUAAUAUAAAUAUCACAAUAUUCUCUCUCAAAUAAACUAUAAACAUAAACUCUAUCAGUGACAUUAGCAAGAAACAUGUAAACAAUCAGAUAAUACUUCAUGAAAGCUGAGGAAAGCUUCAUUCAUGCUUGUUUGUCAGACUCCACUGUUGAACAUGUUGAAGAUUAAAGACAGCAUCAACAUCAGCUCUGACUCUUACAGUGUUCAACUCAUUUCAUCCAUCACAACAGAAAUAUACAUCAACUGACAGACGAGCUGUAUUCAUAACAGCAGACACUAUUAAUCAGCGCUCUUUAUAAAGAGCAGAAGCUGUUUAUAGAGCCCGUGUCAGUCAUUUCACAAGCAGAAAGAGAACUUUAUAGGAGCUGAUACUUACAGGUGAGUCUCUUCAGUCGAUUCCUGCACUUGAUCGCAGAUUCUGCUGCUUUAAUCUGCUGUUGAGCUGAAAUAUGUGCUGUUUAAACACAUUAAGAGUCUGUCGCUAAGCUGUCAUCUGUAAAUUAAGUAUUUAAAACAAACUGCAGGUGUUUUGUUUUGGAGACUGUCAUCUGUCAUCACACGCUUCUUCCUUGUUGUCAAAAAAACACCUGAAGCUGCGAGUCAGACUGAACCAGAAGCCACUCGCGCCGCCUAGUGGAGCGGAUGAAAAACUGCGCUUCUGCGAUUGAUUUCUAUUUCUUUUUUUUCUCUGGACUUGUGAGUUCUUCAGACACUUCCUCCAGAUCCUCCAUGGGCUGAGGCGUUCCCAGGCAAGCCGAGUGCCUCCAGUGAGUCCUCGUUCUUCCCCCAAGAUCCUUUCAGUGGGACAAGCCAGGAACACAUCCCUAGGCUAAAGCAAAAGCUCUUCUGAACUGGCUUCUUGGAGGUCAGGGAGGCCCCUACUCAAACACACCACAGCAUUCACUUGUAUGGUGGAGAUGUGCAGCCUGUGCUAUGAAGCCAGAUUAGUGGCUAGCUAGUUCAGUGUUAGUUUAGUUUGCACCAAUUCUGGGUUUUAGGUGCCAUGAAAGGAGCUCAGCUAUGCUCCUCUCUGUGAUACCAUGACAAUAAAUAAUGAUUUAAGUCGAGCUGCUUUUAUAUUACCUAAAAACCAAAAUCGGUGCAAACUAAACUGAAAGUUAACCGUCUAACCGGCCCAUCUUCAUGCUACAGGCCCCUGACUGGACUGCUGAGGUGUUUAAUUUAAUGAUGUUUAGGACAGAGGUUUGGUUCAGUUUUGCUUUGAGUGUCUAAACUGAUGUGGCAAGAAAACAUAUAUUAAUGUGUGAAACUCUGAGUUAUACAGUAUUAUAAAAAUGGUCAGUAAAAUAUAUGAUCGAACUCAAAAUGAUUAAACAUACAUGUGUAAAUAACAAUUAAUACCAAAGUCAAUAAUUAAGCAGUUAUUUAUUGAAAUGUUUUUUAAGUACAUAAAUAAUCAUUAUUAUCUGUGUCUUAAACAAUGCAGCACAUCAGUCUGGAGCUUCUAGUGAUGCUGAAGGCCUUUAUUAGCUGCUGCUGCUGUGUUUAAUCAGGGUUGCAGCUAAACUCAGGAGAGCAGCUUAGCAGGAUCAGGAUCACAGAGCUGUUCUUAAAGUCCUGCUGAUGUUUUCAUGUACGAAUGCAGAUACUUAUUGUCCACAAGGUGGCGCUCAUUAACACACUGAUCUGCUCUCUUGUGUUCCUGUUAUUCAUGUUUAAUCAGUCUUUUAGCUGCUUUUCAAUGUAGUCUCAUGACCAAACUUCUGACCCUCAAUCUCAGUGGCGCAGCAGGAAAGUCAUCGCCUUCAGUCAACAAGACCAGAGUUCUGCUCUCAAUAUUGCUGAUGCUGAAUUAUUAUCAGUGUUAGCUAAACUAGACUUACUAACAGUAAUAAGGAAGUAAAUAAC